Molecule: long non-coding RNA, 151 nt
Organism: Crotalus tigris (Tiger rattlesnake)
Lineage: Eukaryota; Metazoa; Chordata; Lepidosauria; Squamata; Viperidae
Exons: 2
Source: RefSeq, a predicted model, not a curated record
AACAAAUGGAAAGUCACAAUUUUUUUCUACAAUGCAAGCAAAAAUCCUCUCAGUGCUGGAGGCUUUGAAUGAGAAUCUGAACUAAAUAGCAGUUCUUCGUUGCCUGCCUGAUGAUUCACAAAAGAAAGAAAGAAAGAAAGAAAGAAAGAAA